GACGAACGCUGGCGGCGUGCUUAACACUUGCAAGUCGAACGGAAAGGCCUGCUUUCCCUUGUGGAUUGCGGGUACUCGAGUGGCGAACGGGUGAGUAACACGUGAGUGAUCUGCCCCCAACUUGGGUAUAAGCCUGGGAAACUGGGUCUAAUUCCCGAUAGGACUGCAGGGUGGUGCCUGUGGUGGAAAACGAUUUUCUAGUGGUUGGGGAUGAGCUCGCGGCCUAUCAGCUUGUUGGUGGGGUAAUGGCCUACCAAGGCGGCGACGGGUAGCCGGCCUGAGAGGGUGGACGGCCACAUUGGGACUGAGAUACGGCCCAGACUCCUACGGGAGGCAGCAGUGGGGAAUAUUGCACAAUGGGCGGAAGCCUGAUGCAGCGACGCCGCGUGGGGGAUGACGGCCUUCGGGUUGUAAACUCCUUUCGACCGCGAGGAAGCCACCUGGUUGGAAGGGUGGUGACGGUAGUGGUAGAAGAAGCACCGGCUAACUACGUG
This 494-nucleotide ribosomal RNA is filed under the name uncultured bacterium. RNAcentral's name for it is "partial 16S ribosomal RNA". It matches the Rfam family "Bacterial small subunit ribosomal RNA", at positions 28 to 507 of the family's 1533-position model. The record is from RNAcentral.